This 374-nucleotide ribosomal RNA is filed under the name uncultured Alphaproteobacteria bacterium. RNAcentral's name for it is "bacterial SSU rRNA". It matches the Rfam family "Bacterial small subunit ribosomal RNA", at positions 521 to 896 of the family's 1533-position model. The record is from RNAcentral. Lineage: Bacteria; Pseudomonadati; Pseudomonadota; Alphaproteobacteria.
UAAUACGGAGGGGGCUAGCGUUGUUCGGAAUUACUGGGCGUAAAGCGCGCGUAGGCGGUGUAUCAAGUCAGAGGUGAAAGCCCUGGGCUUAACCCAGGAACUGCCUUUGAUACUGAUACGCUUGAGUUCGGGAGAGGUGAGUGGAAUUCCCAGUGUAGAGGUGAAAUUCGUAGAUAUUGGGAAGAACACCAGUGGCGAAGGCGACUCACUGGCCCGUUGCUGACGCUGAGGCGCGAAAGCGUGGGGAGCGAACAGGAUUAGAUACCCUGGUAGUCCACGCCGUAAACGAUGGGUGCUAGGUGUUGGGCGCUUGCCGCUCGGUGCCGGAGUUAACGCGUUAAGCACCCCGCCUGGGGAGUACGGCCGCAAGGUUA